GGAUGCGAUCAUACCAGCACUAAAGCACCGGAUCCCAUCAGAACUCCGAAGUUAAGCGUGCUUGGGCGAGAGUAGUACUAGGAUGGGUGACCUCCUGGGAAGUCCUCGUGUUGCAUUCCU
RNAcentral lists this ribosomal RNA (120 nucleotides) under Thinopyrum intermedium. The record is from RNAcentral. Lineage: Eukaryota; Viridiplantae; Streptophyta; Magnoliopsida; Poales; Poaceae.